UACGUAGGGAGCAAGCGUUGUCCGGAUUUAUUGGGCGUAAAGAGCUCGUAGGCGGUUUGGAAAGUCAGGUGUGAAACCUCCAGGCUCAACCUGGAGACGCCACUCGAUACUGCCAUGACUCGAGUCCGGUAGGGGAGUGCGGAAUUCCUGGUGUAGCGGUGAAAUGCGCAGAUAUCAGGAGGAACACCGAUGGCGAAGGCAGCACUCUGGGCCGGUACUGACGCUGAGGAGCGAAAGCGUGGGGAGCGAACAGG
This 254-nucleotide ribosomal RNA is filed under the name uncultured bacterium. RNAcentral describes it as "partial 16S ribosomal RNA". It matches the Rfam family "Bacterial small subunit ribosomal RNA", at positions 524 to 776 of the family's 1533-position model. The record is from RNAcentral.